Molecule: long non-coding RNA, 659 nt
Filed under: Cyanistes caeruleus (blue tit)
Lineage: Eukaryota; Metazoa; Chordata; Aves; Passeriformes; Paridae
Description: lncRNA (ENSCCEG00000001926.1)
Source: RNAcentral
AUUCUUAAAUUCUUCCAAGCCAUAUUUAAAAUCCUUAUGCUCAGAGAUGGCAGGUGCCAUGUGUUUUCACAGCUACAUUAACAAAUGCAAUUUUGUGGCAACUUGACCACACCAGUGAAGCAGUAAAUUUCUGUAAUCUCUCUGGUUAAGAAUUUCACACAGGACUUUGCUGGGAAUGUGUAAAGCCCAUUAGUACAGGAGCAUGAUGAAGAUAAAAUUAAAAUACCUUUACAGUAAAAGCCAAAAAAGAGUGAAGUCUGGGGAUUUUUCUUUUUUUGCUGCUAGAGCAAUGAAACGUGUCAGAGGGAAAUGCUGAAGGAGAAAAAAAGUAGCUUCACUGAGCUCACAGCCUACUCUCCUUCUCAAAUGACUGCCACCAAUUUAGGAUCCCACAGUGAGUCUGAGGGAUACCAGUGCCAGAGGAGAGUUUUAUACACUGAGACAGACCCCCAGGACUAAGUUUCUGAGACGGAUGUUAGAUUUUGCAAGAAGAUGGGCUGUGACCCAUCAGCAUCACCCACAGCCCUUCAUGCCACCUACCAAGGACCUGGAGAUGAAAACAAUUGCAUGGGACCAGCACAGGGCCAAGAGGACACAAACAGCCCCUCCACAGAUGGCCAGGUGUGCUGCAGGUGUGAAGUACCUUUGGGAGACAGGGG